UUCCAGACUCCUACGGGAGGCAGCAGUGGGGAAUAUUGCACAAUGGGCGCAAGCCUGAUGCAGCGACGCCGCGUGGGGGAUGGCGGCCUUCGGGUUGUAAACUCCUUUCGCUAGGGACGAAGCUUUUUGUGACGGUACCUAGAUAAGAAGCACCGGCUAACUACGUGCCAGCAGCCGCGGUAAUACGUAGGGUGCGAGCGUUGUCCGGAAUUACUGGGCGUAAAGGGCUCGUAGGUGGUUUGUCGCGUCGUCUGUGAAAUUCCGGGGCUUAACUCCGGGCGUGCAGGCGAUACGGGCAUAACUUGAGUACUGUAGGGGUAACUGGAAUUCCUGGUGUAGCGGUGAAAUGCGCAGAUAUCAGGAGGAACACCGAUGGCGAAGGCAGGUUACUGGGCAGUUACUGACGCUGAGGAGCGAAAGCAUGGGUAGCGAACAGGAUUAGAUACCCUGGUAGUCCAUGCCGUAAACGGUGGGCGCUAGGUGUGAGGGUCUUUUCACGACUUUCGUGCCGUAGCUAACGCAUUAAGCGCCCCGCCUGGGGAGUACGGCCGCAAGGCUAAAACUCAAAGGAAUUGACGGGGGCCCGCACAAG
Molecule: ribosomal RNA, 592 nt
Filed under: uncultured bacterium
Lineage: Bacteria
Description: bacterial SSU rRNA
Rfam family: Bacterial small subunit ribosomal RNA
Source: RNAcentral